AUUGAACGCUGGCGGCAUGCCUUACACAUGCAAGUCGAACGGUAACAGGUCUUCGGAUGCUGACGAGUGGCGAACGGGUGAGUAAUACAUCGGAACGUGCCUAGUAGUGGGGGAUAACUACUCGAAAGAGUGGCUAAUACCGCAUGAGAUCUACGGAUGAAAGCAGGGGAUCGCAAGACCUUGUGCUACUAGAGCGGCCGAUGGCAGAUUAGGGAGUUGGUGGGAUAAAAGCUUACCAAGCCGACGAUCUGUAGCUGGUCUGAGAGGACGAUCAGCCACACUGGGACUGACACACGGCCCAGACUCCUACGGGAGGCAGCAGUGGGGAAUUUUGGACAAUGGGCGAAAGCCUGAUCCAGCAAUGCCGCGUGCAGGAUGAAGGCCUACGGGUUGUAAACUGCUUUUGUACGGAACGAAAAGCCCCGGGUUAAUACCCUGGGGUCAUGACGGUACCGUAAGAAUAAGCACCGGCUAACUACGUGCCAGCAGCCGCCGCAG
This 498-nucleotide ribosomal RNA is filed under the name uncultured bacterium. RNAcentral describes it as "partial 16S ribosomal RNA". It matches the Rfam family "Bacterial small subunit ribosomal RNA", at positions 30 to 523 of the family's 1533-position model. The record is from RNAcentral.